Molecule: long non-coding RNA, 226 nt
Filed under: Lathyrus oleraceus (garden pea)
Lineage: Eukaryota; Viridiplantae; Streptophyta; Magnoliopsida; Fabales; Fabaceae
Description: Pisum sativum (pea) long non-coding RNA (PSAT_LNC026817)
Source: RNAcentral
UACAGUUUUUUUCUUUUCUUUUUAUCCCUAAUUUUUGCCCGAACCUUUUCUCUUUUUUUCUCGGUUCGCCAGGAUGCCCUUUUUUUGCCUGGACUCUUUUAUUCUUUUCGUCCAGCGGGUUUCUUUUACGAAGUAUUUUUUAACUGCGUCCGCACUUACAGGGGAUGGAAAAUCCUCGUCAUCCGUGGUCGUCAACAACAAGGCUCUGCCAGAGAACACAUUCUUG